This 502-nucleotide ribosomal RNA is filed under the name uncultured bacterium. RNAcentral's name for it is "partial 16S ribosomal RNA". It matches the Rfam family "Bacterial small subunit ribosomal RNA", at positions 28 to 507 of the family's 1533-position model. The record is from RNAcentral.
GACGAACGCUGGCGGCGUGCCUAAUACAUGCAAGUCGAACGAACCGCGACUAAGUGCUUGCACUAAGUCAAGGUGAGUGGCGAACGGGUGAGUAACACGUGGGUAACCUACCUCAUAGUGGGGGAUAGCAGUCGGAAACGACUGCUAAUACCGCAUAGGACAUAGGAUCACAUGAUCCAGUGAGGAAAGGUGGCGCAAGCUAUCGCUAAGAGAUGGACCCGCGGUGCAUUAGCUAGUUGGUAGGGUAAAGGCCUACCAAGGCGAUGAUGCAUAGCCGACCUGAGAGGGUGAUCGGCCACAUUGGGACUGAGACACGGCCCAAACUCCUACGGGAGGCAGCAGUAGGGAAUCUUCCGCAAUGGACGCAAGUCUGACGGAGCAACGCCGCGUGAGUGAAGAAGGUCUUCGGAUCGUAAAGCUCUGUUGUUAGAGAAGAACAGCGCAUAGAGUAACUGCUAUGCGUGUGACGGUAUCUAACCAGAAAGCCACGGCUAACUACGUG